GUGGUUCUUCAUUAACAUCACAGCAGGCUUUAAUUCCAGCAGAAGACUGAUCACCCUUCAGCUGCCCGACAUCCAGCCUGAAGAAUAUGUUUGGAAUUAAGCAGGGGUCUUAGUUGAAAAGAACAUCAGAUCCAGGAACCCCCUCUUGAGGUCUGCAUCAGGACCACUUUCCUGUAACAUCUUUCUGGCAACCAUGAAGGAUGAUACUGAAGAGACCCCUAAUCCCAACUAAAAAUCAUCUGCUCGCACCAAUUUUGGCUGACUUUGCGUUUCUGAUAACUUUGGAAAUUGUGACAUUAGAAUAGAAGAAACAACUUUCAGAACUCUCAUGGAGAACUGAAAUGUUCAUGAAUAUCAAACAGAAGAGAAAUUAACUGCAUGGAGUAAACUAAAAGAAGUCUAAAGUAAUCUUUUUAACUUUUUGCUUAAAACGUUGCUGAUGCCUUGUUUUGUUUUUCAAAGUCAAGAAAACAAAUUUUAAGCUAUUUAUGGCUUUUAUCAAUUAGGUAAAGUAUACUCCUAUGAACC
This is a non-coding RNA of Macaca mulatta (Rhesus monkey), 528 nucleotides long. Lineage: Eukaryota; Metazoa; Chordata; Mammalia; Primates; Cercopithecidae. The record is from RefSeq and is a predicted model, not a curated record.